RNAcentral lists this transfer RNA (91 nucleotides) under Clostridia bacterium. RNAcentral describes it as "tRNA-Ser". It matches the Rfam family "tRNA". From Rfam's summary of the family: Transfer RNA (tRNA) molecules are approximately 80 nucleotides in length. Their secondary structure includes four short double-helical elements and three loops (D, anti-codon, and T loops). Lineage: Bacteria; Bacillati; Bacillota; Clostridia. The record is from RNAcentral.
GGAGUAGUACUCAAGUUGGUGAAGAGGCGCCCCUGCUAAGGGCGUAGGUCGGGUAACCGGCGCGAGAGUUCAAGUCUCUCCUACUCCGCCA